CAGGCGACGAAGGACGUGCAAGCCUGCGUUAAGCCCCGGGGAGCUGGCAACGAAGCUUUGAUCCGGGGAUGUCCGAAUGGGGAAACCCACUCCGCAAGGAGUAUCCCAGACUGAAUCCAUAGGUCUGGGAGGCGAACCGGGUGAACUGAAACAUCUAAGUAGCCCGAGGAAAAGAAAUCAACCGAGAUUCCCUGAGUAGUGGCGAGCGAACGGGGAAGAGCCUGCAAGUGAUAGCAGUUUUGUUAAUGGAACGGAAUGGAAAGUCCGGCCGUAGUGGGUGAUAGCCCCGUACAUGAAAACAUUGCUGUGGUACUAAGUUUGCGACAAGUAGGGCGGGGCACGUGAAACCCUGUCUGAACAUGGGGGGACCAUCCUCCAAGGCUAAAAUACUCGUGAUCGACCGAUAGUGAACAAGUACCGUGAGGGAAAGGCGAAAAGAACCCCGGGAGGGGAGUGAAAUAGAACCUGAAACCGCAUGCAUACAAACAGUGGGAGCCUCCUUGUGGGGUGACUG
Molecule: ribosomal RNA, 514 nt
Filed under: uncultured bacterium
Lineage: Bacteria
Description: bacterial LSU rRNA
Rfam family: Bacterial large subunit ribosomal RNA
Source: RNAcentral